Ipomoea nil (Japanese morning glory) is the source of this 2902-nucleotide RNA transcript. It is a transcript of the gene named putative late blight resistance protein homolog R1A-10, with no coding region annotated. The transcript has 5 exons. The record is from RefSeq and is a predicted model, not a curated record. Lineage: Eukaryota; Viridiplantae; Streptophyta; Magnoliopsida; Solanales; Convolvulaceae.
GGUGAUGUUGAUGCAGUACUCAAAGUGAGAGAUUUAGAAAUGGAAAUCAGAGAGUUUGCACUCAAAGCUGAAGACAACAUUGAACUACAACUUAGCAACUUCCUUCUCGCUCAUCAACACGGAGGAGAAAAAGCUGCAGCUUCCCAUCAACUCCUCCUCCAUCAAACUUUGAAAGAAGCUGCAAAAUAUGCAACAGACCUGUUGGAGUUAUCAAAAAUGGAAGAGGAAUUCAAAUAAUUCUGGUGCUGCAAUCAAAAUACUGGAAACCAAAAUCACAAACUUGGCACUCAAAACUGAAAAUGACCUCCAAAUACGACUAAAAAAGUUCCUUCUAGUCAAACACACCGUAUAUAAAGAAAGAGCUUCCCAGAAACUCCAUCACACCUUGCAAGAAGCAGCAGAAAGCGUACAAGAGUUGUUGAACAUAAUCAAAAGUAGAAGCAGCAGCAAUGAAGUUGAUGAUGAUGAUGAUGAUGAUGAUGAUGAUGAGGCAAAUCAAACUCAACCAUCAAAUACUUGGUCAAGACAUGCUAGCGCUGUGAAAGUUGAUUCUGAUGGCAGAAUGGUUGGCCGUCACAAUGACUGUAGAGUCAUAAAGGAACAACUCUUUUCUCCCCAUUUUUUCAUACCAGGUAUAAUCUCAAUUGUUGGAAUGGUGGGUAUUGGAAAGACGACUGUAGCAAGAAAUGUGUAUGAAGAUCCAUCACUUGCAUCCUAUUUCCAUGUAAGAGCUUGGGUUACUCUACCCCAUCAUCCUCAACACUACAAUAAGACCAGAAUGCUAAGCCAACUUCUUCACUCAAUUACACCAGUGGAAGAGCCAAAUGUAAUUAAAAAGGGAAGCACUCCUCAUGAACUAGAAAUGCAGGUACGCAAAUGCUUUGGUGGUAAGAAGUAUCUAAUUGUUUUGGACAACAUUACGAGCAAGGAAACUUGGAAGCAAGCUUGGAUUGACAUCAUAAGUUGUGUUGUUAAUAAUGGAUUAGAUGGAAGUUACAUAUUACUAACCACUAGACACUACUUCAGCCUAGAUGUCCACAAGAAAAGAUACCAUAUCCAUAAGAUGACUUUGCUAGAUCAAAAAGAAAGCUGGGAACUAUUUUGUAAUAUCCUUUCUAUUGAUGAAGAGCACUUGGCCCCUAAAUUUGAAAAUAUUAGGAACCAUGUUGUGGAGAAAUGUGAUGGAUUACCCCAGUUAAUUGUUGAAGUUGCCAGGCGUUUAUCUAAAUGCAACAACAUACAAAAAGGGUGGAAAGCGAUUGAGAAGGAAUUAGAGUCAUUGGGACUUCUAGAUCGCAAAGAACUUAGUGUUACUUACAAUAUGUUGCCACAUCAUUUGAAAUUUUGCUUUCUAUACUUUGGAGUCUUCCCAAAACGUAAAAAUAUUCUGGUUAAAAUGCUUAUAAGGUUGUGGAUUGCCGAGGGAAUGAUGAAGCCAUUGAAACAUAUGGAGUUAGAAAAUGAAGCUUAUGAGUACUUACAAGAGCUUACUGAUAGAAGUCUUCUCUUAAUUGAAGAUCGAAGUUGUAACGGCAAAAUAAAGACUUGUAGAAUGCACAGUGCCUUACAUAGCUUCUGCGUAGGAGAAGCUCAAAAAGAAGGUAUUUUAUGUGCAGUAAAUACUCAGCAACAUUUAGGAUUAUCAUUAAAAACAUUUACAAAUUCCUGUCGUUGGCUAAGUUCUUACUCACACUAUUUUGACUAUUAUGUGCUCUUUGGUAGAAACAUCCCUCGCUCCAUUUUCUUCUUUCUUGAAAAUCCCGAAAUGUUUGUUCCUCCCAAGCUGCUAAGAGUUUUGGCUUUUGAUACUUCUAUAUCACUUCAAAGAGUGCCAGUGCAAUUAGAAGGUUUAGUUUUUCUGAGAUACCUAUCCAUAACACAAUGGUUUGAGGAUCUGGAUCUUGUAGUGUUAAAUAAUCUAAAUUUAGAGACACUUGUUGUUUCCGGUAAUGGAGCACCAACAGUCCAUUUGCCAUCCAGUAUUUGGAAGCCACCAAACUUAAGGCAUCUCGAACUUGGCAAUUCAUAUAUGGUAGAUCCUCCAAGUGCAUAUAAAAACAAUUUACAAACAUUAUCUUGGGUGGUGAGACCAAUUCAUUGCAGACAAAAGGUGUAUAGCAAGUUCCCUAACAUAAAAAAUCUGAAAAUUUUCCUGAAGGAUGACAUAGAGCCCAGUCACAUUAGAAGAUGUUGCAGCAAUCCUAUUAUUUUGGAUCAUUUUGACUAUUUGGAAGGGCUUGAGAAGCUUAGCAUUUCGGAUUCUAUUGGUUUGAAUGCAGCCCUUCCAGAAAAGUGUAUGUAUCCUUCAAGAUUGAAGAAGUUGAAGUUGAGUGGGACUAAUAUUUCUGAGGGGGAUUUAAAUGUAAUUGCCAGGUUACCCCAGCUUGAGGUGCUCAAGUUGGAAAAUGCCUUCCAUGGAACGGUAUGGAAAGUAGCUGAUGGAGGAUUUUGUCAAUUAAUAUACUUUCUCCUUGAAGCUAAAGAACUCAAGCAGUGGGACGUUAGCUGUAAUCAGUUUCGGAUGCUCAAGCACUUAGUCUUAAGAUCCUGUAAUUGUUUGGAACAAAUCCCAAUGGUUUUUGCAGAAAUUUACCCCCUGAAGUCAAUUGAGUUGGAGGGGUGUAAGUCUUCCCUUGUCGCUUCUGCUAAGCAGUUAAAACAGAAGAGAAGAUCCAAUAAUGAUGUUAAGAUCAAAAUCUUUGGCCACGAAUAUGAUGACUCACAGAAUACACAUACAGAAUUGUCUAUAUAUGUAAGAUGACUUGGGGGGCCAGCCUGGCCUCAUAGUAAAUAACUGUUGGAAAACGGUAUCGAGUAUCCAGAAGUUGGUCUUGAAAGAUGGGCUCAAGAGUUUUGUGUUAAAAAGACGGUGGAUAACUUUUUAUUAGCAAACAUUAUAUUG